GGAUGGAGGUCGACAUAUAUAGGAGUCUCCCUAACAUCAAGUAAUAAUGCUAUUCCUUUACCCUGCUUGGUCAUAGCACGGUAGUGGGAGCUGCCAGCUUCACAUGUUUUAACUCUGUCAGAGCACUUUGAAAAAGUGGUCUGUGGUAUCUGGAAAGCUGAUGUUGCGUGUGAAGAUUACAGACAAGCUUUAUCCAAGGAGAUCCAGCUCUUGAAGUUGGGAAAGUGGUGCCUUUUCGGUUUUCGAACAAGCAAUCCUGUCGGGGAUCUGGCUCUCGAGAUUCGGAGAACGAUGCCUCUUCGAUUUUUGAGAAAGCAAUCCUGCUGGUCUACCUUACCACGAAGCACAGAGGUUGACACACAGGGACUUUCCAAUUAUCCAGCAGUGGUACUGUUCCUUUACCCUCUCUUCGAUUUUUGAGAAAGUAAUCAUGUUGGGAGUCUGGCUCUCGAGAUUCGGAGGGCGGUGCCUCUUCGAUUUUGGAGCAAGCAAUCUUGUUGGGAGUGUUUUCUCGAAUGUGAGUAAAGGUUGGGCAUGUUUGCUAGUCUACCUUGCCACGAAGCACAGAGGUUGACACACAGGGACUUUCCAAUUAUCCAGCAGUGGUACUGUUCCUUUACCCUCUCUUCGAUUUUUGAGAAAGUAAUCAUGUUGGGAGUCUGGCUCUCGAGAUUCGGAGGGCGGU
Molecule: long non-coding RNA, 685 nt
Filed under: Malus domestica (apple)
Lineage: Eukaryota; Viridiplantae; Streptophyta; Magnoliopsida; Rosales; Rosaceae
Description: long non-coding RNA (MDOM_LNC014865)
Source: RNAcentral